Molecule: ribosomal RNA, 2065 nt
Filed under: Escherichia coli
Lineage: Bacteria; Pseudomonadati; Pseudomonadota; Gammaproteobacteria; Enterobacterales; Enterobacteriaceae
Description: partial 23S ribosomal RNA
Rfam family: Bacterial large subunit ribosomal RNA
Source: RNAcentral
GUUGGGUAACACUAACUGGAGGACCGAACCGACUAAUGUUGAAAAAUUAGCGGAUGACUUGUGGCUGGGGGUGAAAGGCCAAUCAAACCGGGAGAUAGCUGGUUCUCCCCGAAAGCUAUUUAGGUAGCGCCUCGUGAAUUCAUCUCCGGGGGUAGAGCACUGUUUCGGCAAGGGGGUCAUCCCGACUUACCAACCCGAUGCAAACUGCGAAUACCGGAGAAUGUUAUCACGGGAGACACACGGCGGGUGCUAACGUCCGUCGUGAAGAGGGAAACAACCCAGACCGCCAGCUAAGGUCCCAAAGUCAUGGUUAAGUGGGAAACGAUGUGGGAAGGCCCAGACAGCCAGGAUGUUGGCUUAGAAGCAGCCAUCAUUUAAAGAAAGCGUAAUAGCUCACUGGUCGAGUCGGCCUGCGCGGAAGAUGUAACGGGGCUAAACCAUGCACCGAAGCUGCGGCAGCGACGCUGAUGCGUUGUUGGGUAGGGGAGCGUUCUGUAAGCCUGUGAAGGUGUGCUGUGAGGCAUGCUGGAGGUAUCAGAAGUGCGAAUGCUGACAUAAGUAACGAUAAAGCGGGUGAAAAGCCCGCUCGCCGGAAGACCAAGGGUUCCUGUCCAACGUUAAUCGGGGCAGGGUGAGUCGACCCCUAAGGCGAGGCCGAAAGGCGUAGUCGAUGGGAAACAGGUUAAUAUUCCUGUACUUGGUGUUACUGCGAAGGGGGGACGGAGAAGGCUAUGUUGGCCGGGCGACGGUUGUCCCGGUUUAAGCGUGUAGGCUGGUUUUCCAGGCAAAUCCGGAAAAUCAAGGCUGAGGCGUGAUGACGAGGCACUACGGUGCUGAAGCAACAAAUGCCCUGCUUCCAGGAAAAGCCUCUAAGCAUCAGGUAACAUCAAAUCGUACCCCAAACCGACACAGGUGGUCAGGUAGAGAAUACCAAGGCGCUUGAGAGAACUCGGGUGAAGGAACUAGGCAAAAUGGUGCCGUAACUUCGGGAGAAGGCACGCUGAUAUGUAGGUGAAGUCCCUCGCGGAUGGAGCUGAAAUCAGUCGAAGAUACCAGCUGGCUGCAACUGUUUAUUAAAAACACAGCACUGUGCAAACACGAAAGUGGACGUAUACGGUGUGACGCCUGCCCGGUGCCGGAAGGUUAAUUGAUGGGGUCAGCGCAAGCGAAGCUCUUGAUCGAAGCCCCGGUAAACGGCGGCCGUAACUAUAACGGUCCUAAGGUAGCGAAAUUCCUUGUCGGGUAAGUUCCGACCUGCACGAAUGGCGUAAUGAUGGCCAGGCUGUCUCCACCCGAGACUCAGUGAAAUUGAACUCGCUGUGAAGAUGCAGUGUACCCGCGGCAAGACGGAAAGACCCCGUGAACCUUUACUAUAGCUUGACACUGAACAUUGAGCCUUGAUGUGUAGGAUAGGUGGGAGGCUUAGAAGUGUGGACGCCAGUCUGCAUGGAGCCGACCUUGAAAUACCACCCUUUAAUGUUUGAUGUUCUAACGUUGACCCGUAAUCCGGGUUGCGGACAGUGUCUGGUGGGUAGUUUGACUGGGGCGGUCUCCUCCUAAAGAGUAACGGAGGAGCACGAAGGUUGGCUAAUCCUGGUCGGACAUCAGGAGGUUAGUGCAAUGGCAUAAGCCAGCUUGACUGCGAGCGUGACGGCGCGAGCAGGUGCGAAAGCAGGUCAUAGUGAUCCGGUGGUUCUGAAUGGAAGGGCCAUCGCUCAACGGAUAAAAGGUACUCCGGGGAUAACAGGCUGAUACCGCCCAAGAGUUCAUAUCGACGGCGGUGUUUGGCACCUCGAUGUCGGCUCAUCACAUCCUGGGGCUGAAGUAGGUCCCAAGGGUAUGGCUGUUCGCCAUUUAAAGUGGUACGCGAGCUGGGUUUAGAACGUCGUGAGACAGUUCGGUCCCUAUCUGCCGUGGGCGCUGGAGAACUGAGGGGGGCUGCUCCUAGUACGAGAGGACCGGAGUGGACGCAUCACUGGUGUUCGGGUUGUCAUGCCAAUGGCACUGCCCGGUAGCUAAAUGCGGAAGAGAUAAGUGCUGAAAGCAUCUAAGCACGAAACUUGCC